AAAUGUCGUAAAUGUAAAUGUAAAUCUAAGUCACAAACUAUAAAAAUAAAAAUGCCUAAUACAUGCUAAUUAUCAUCCAUACACAAUCAUAAGAAGCCUCCAAUUUUUUGGAGCAACGCAUUAGGUUAAAGUCAACCUAAUUUAACAAAAAAAAAAGUAUUUUCAACUAAUAAAUUAUUUUUUUAAAUAGGUGCAAAAAACAAAAACAAAAGGACAAUUGUUUGUAACUGAACUUUUGAUCUUAAAUUCUUUUCAUUCUUUUGACUACUUAUUAUUUAAUGCUGCAACCUGCUUUCAAUACAUUUCUAAGAACCAACUGUACUUUACACCACUAAUUAUAACAAGAGGAACCCUGAGGUCCUGCUGUAAAAAUAGAACCAACAGCCCAGUCUGUUUAAGAGUCUAAUGAAAGAACCUACUGCAACUUGACUACACUAAAACCCUGGGAGAAAAAGUCAAUACCAUUACUGAUGUAGUCUGCAAGAACCGAAAAGUGACUUUUCAUGCUAUUUAUAGACAGAAACAACAUAGCUGCUGGAUUACUGAAGCAAUGAGGGGAGUAUAAAUCCAAAAGGUGGGUAUGCCAAAGUCACUCUAUAAUAGAAGUACAUCAAUACAAACAUGUCUGCAAAGGCUGCUCAAUAACAUUUACACACUGCACAGCUGUGAACAUGUUUUGUCACGACAUGUUGCAGAACCACGAACUGUUGAAGGAAAACAGCAUUGCACAAACCACUGAACAAUAUAACUGCCACUGCUAUUUAGAACAUUCACCAAACAUCACAACUUUCUGUUACUAUAGAAAUUUAGGAAGCUUACGAAACCACCUCAGGCCAUUUUUCAGCAAUUUCAGACCUUGUGUAAAGCACAAUGUGCUUUUUGCAGCAAGAGUUCAAUCACUGUAUUUUAACAUGUUGAAUGCACAUGCAAAAGACAAUAAGUAUGGCUAUAUGCAUAGGUAUUUAUUCAUUUGAUUAUGGAAACUGACUAUUAUUAUUUUUUGUAUUUGGAAAAUAGUGUUUCUCAUAGCAACUAAUAGCAUCUCCAUACUGAGAUCCAUGCAGAGAGAUAAGAGUGAGAGUCUACAGAAUAGGAGAAUGGAGAGCACUCAGGAGCAGAGGCGAGGGGGAGCGAAAAGUGCUUGCUCUGCUGCAAUGGAAGCCGGUGCCUUUUAAAAAGAUCUGAGGGCACUGUUGGAGCUUGUGGAGCCACGAGGAUUUACAGAGCAUGCAGCUUUGACAAGUCCUUUCAGCACUGUCCUCUGAACCAUCUGGCGGAAAAAAAACACACAUGCUGGGGAGAUCAUGCAGUUCCCACCUAAUGAGGACAGAAAGAAGCUAUGUGAUUAGCAGAGGGAACGCUAAUAAAAACAUAUGCCUGUCUUUUCACUAAAUGAUAUACUAGAUUUUUUAGUGUGUUAACAGAAAAUCUGCAAAUACACGAUUAUUUCAGCUGAAGUUCUGAAAGACCCUCUUCCUGAAGCUGAGGGAUUGUACCUGUUAUUUAUUGUUGACUUAUAGAAAGGCUUGUGGGAGGAAGUAGUAACUUGUUUUCCACAGUAUUUUUGGUGUGCUUUUAAUGCUAGGCCUGUGUUUAAGCAUCCAGCUUUUACCAUUCCAAGAGUAAUUAUUUCUUGUAGGGUUUCUUGUGUGUGAACUACAGAGACAUGAUCAUUAACAGGGCUCUAUAAUAUAUUGCUUGUUAAUCAUCAAUGCAAUAAUACCUACACCACAGAAGGCUGCAAUAUGCAAAACAGCCAUUUAACAAAUGACAAAGUUUUUCUCGUCUGUGAUGUGAACAUCCUAACCAAUCUUAUGGUUGUUUUGUGAGUGGUGAAUCAUAGCAUGUACAUGAUCUAACAUACAAAAAUAAUUUUGGCCAAAUUAAUGCAAGCCAGCCUUUAACUAUGUCACAAAGGUUCAUCUAGCUGACUGCCAACUACAAGAGGAUACUAGAAAUUAAAACAAAGAAUACAGAAGAGAUAACAAAGAAUGCUCUUAAGGAUGGAUAAUAAAAUUCUUCAGUGACAACUCACAAGUCAACAUAAGACAUCAAUGUUUACCAUGAGCUAAGGCAUGGGUGCACAUAGGAGUCCUGCAUCCUGUGAUCCAGGCACCAUGUGUUUCCACAAGGAGGUCUGACAGUGGCAAGGCAAAUUUACACAUUUCCCUGUUCAAUGCAAGGACUAACCAGCGAGAGCAAGCAGUAAGUGAGAUGAUAAAAGCAGAGAGGAAAUAUGCAUGCAACCUGCCAACACAUUCAAAUCAACUUCCACACAGGCAAAUCAUAUACACCUCUGUACAAGAAGCAGGUGCAAAACAUAAAAGAACAUAUAGAUAUUCACAACCACACACAUACAGGCACAAAAACAAACAUUCCCUCACAUGUAGUACAUGUUUGUGGUGAGAGUGUCACAUUUCAUCCAGUUACUUCAUUUAUUCAAAUGUGGCAUGUGUACACAGGUAAUUAUAAACCAUAAUGAGGGCAGAAAGUAAACAGGACCCCCUAUAAAAGUUCACACCAAAAGGAAUGUCAUAUAAAACAAGCAACACAAGAUUCCAAACCACUUCCUCUCUUGCUGCGCAAUGUUUUAAAUGCUGCAGCUGACAUCUGAGGAUGCUGAGUAUAAAUGUUUGCUUAUGUUCAGCUAAUUCAAAAACAUUUUAUGUGCACAAUAUAUUGGAAGCCGUGCUUAUUAUUUGUCAAUCAGUACAAUUUUGAAUUUAUUGUUGUCAGUUCAAUAUUGGAAUUUUAGCUGAUAAUUACACAGGAGCAUUUUCAACUUUCCAUCAGAUUAAGCCUUCUGUUUAAUUUAAUAAUUUUAACACUAGGUUUAAUUUUUUUUUAAUUUUAUUUUGCUGUUUACUCAUUAAGCAAUGUAUCUGAUGUUGGUAACUGUGUAGUUAUGCCAUUAUGUUUUUGUUUUUUUUUGUGGGCUUUCCAGCCAUAAGUGUUCUUAUACCUGCACCAGUUCAAGUCAUAAAACGGCACUUAACAUUUGAUAAAGUUUCGAAAAUAACCAAUGAAACCAUUUAUGUUCUUUUUUUGUGUUAAGAGCAAUGUAUUUCUGAAAACCUUGUGUACUUC
Electrophorus electricus (electric eel) is the source of this 3087-nucleotide non-coding RNA. NCBI's taxonomy places the organism in Eukaryota, Metazoa, Chordata, Actinopteri, Gymnotiformes, Gymnotidae. The record is from RefSeq and is a predicted model, not a curated record.